RNAcentral lists this ribosomal RNA (536 nucleotides) under Pleosporales sp. Rco007ITS1. RNAcentral describes it as "eukaryotic LSU rRNA". The stretch from base 162 to 315 matches the Rfam family "5.8S ribosomal RNA". Lineage: Eukaryota; Fungi; Ascomycota; Dothideomycetes; Pleosporales. The record is from RNAcentral.
UAUGAAAGCGGGCUGGCAUCCUUCGGGGUUACAGCCUUGCUGAAUUAUUCACCCGUGUCUUUUGCGUACUUCUUGUUUCCUUGGUGGGUUCGCCCACCAUAGGACAAACCAUAAACCUUUUGUAAUUGCAAUCAGCGUCAGUAAAAAAAAUUAAUAAUUACAACUUUUAACAACGGAUCUCUUGGUUCUGGCAUCGAUGAAGAACGCAGCGAAAUGCGAUAAGUAGUGUGAAUUGCAGAAUUCAGUGAAUCAUCGAAUCUUUGAACGCACAUUGCGCCCUUUGGUAUUCCAAAGGGCAUGCCUGUUCGAGCGUCAUUUGUACCCUCAAGCUUUGCUUGGUGUUGGGCGUCUUGUCUCCAGUUCGCUGGAGACUCGCCUUAAAGUAAUUGGCAGCCGGCCUACUGGUUUCGGAGCGCAGCACAAGUCGCGCUCUCUUCCAGCCAAGGUCAGCAUCCACAAAGCCUUUUUUCAACUUUUGACCUCGGAUCAGGUAGGGAUACCCGCUGAACUUAAGCAUAUCAAUAAGGCGGAGGAAA